RNAcentral lists this ribosomal RNA (468 nucleotides) under uncultured bacterium. RNAcentral describes it as "partial 16S ribosomal RNA". It matches the Rfam family "Bacterial small subunit ribosomal RNA", at positions 28 to 507 of the family's 1533-position model. The record is from RNAcentral.
GAUGAACGCUGGCGGCGUGCUUAACACAUGCAAGUCGAACGGAAAGGCCCAGCCUUGCUUGGGUGCUCGAGUGGCGAACGGGUGAGUAACACGUGGGUGACCUGCCCUGCACUUCGGGAUAACCCUGGGAAACUGGGUCUAAUACCGGAUAGGACGAUGUUUUGCAUGCUAUUGGUUGGAGUUUUUUCGCGGUGGGGUGUGCUCGCGGCCUAUCAGCGCGUGUGGGGGGGGAUGGGCUACCAAGGCGUUUAGAGGGAGCGGGCGCGAGAGAGGGUACGGCGACAUUGGGACAGAGAGACGGCCCAGACUCCUACGGGAGGCAGCAGUGGGGAAUAUUGCACAAUGGGCGCAAGCCUGAGGCAGCGACGCCGCGUGGGGGAUGAGGGCCUUCGGGUUGUAAACUCCUUUCGCGAGGGACGAAGCGUGUUUGUGACGGUACCGGGAGAAGAAGCACCGGCUAACUACGUG